UACGUAGGGGGCGAGCGUUAUCCGGAUUCAUUGGGCGUAAAGCGCGCGCAGGCGGGUUGCUAAGCGGGACCUCUAAUCUCAGGGCUCAACCUUGAGCCGGGUCCCGAACUGGCAGCCUCGGGUUCGGUAGGGGAGAUCGGAAUUCCCGGUGUAGCGGUGGAAUGCGCAGAUAUCGGGAAGAACACUCGUGGCGAAGGCGGGUUCCUGGACAUUAACUGACGCUGAGGCACGAAGGCCAGGGGAGCGAAAGGG
Molecule: ribosomal RNA, 252 nt
Filed under: uncultured Adlercreutzia sp.
Lineage: Bacteria; Bacillati; Actinomycetota; Coriobacteriia; Eggerthellales; Eggerthellaceae
Description: partial 16S ribosomal RNA
Rfam family: Bacterial small subunit ribosomal RNA
Source: RNAcentral